UACGUAGGCAGCAAGCGUUGUUCGGAGUUACUGGGCGUAAAGGGUGUGUAGGCGGUUCUUUAAGUUUGGUGUGAAAUCUCCCGGCUCAACUGGGAGGGUGCGCCGAAGACUGGAAGGCUUGAGUAUGGGAGAGGUAAGCGGAAUUCCUGGUGUAGCGGUGAAAUGCGUAGAUAUCAGGAGGAACACCUGCGGUGUAGACGGCUUACUGGACCAUAACUGACGCUGAGGCACGAAAGCGUGGGUAGCAAACAGG
Molecule: ribosomal RNA, 253 nt
Filed under: uncultured bacterium
Lineage: Bacteria
Description: partial 16S ribosomal RNA
Rfam family: Bacterial small subunit ribosomal RNA
Source: RNAcentral